RNA transcript from Solanum pennellii, 3677 nucleotides. It is a transcript of the gene named protein SUPPRESSOR OF QUENCHING 1, chloroplastic-like, with no coding region annotated. The record is from RefSeq and is a predicted model, not a curated record. Lineage: Eukaryota; Viridiplantae; Streptophyta; Magnoliopsida; Solanales; Solanaceae. The transcript is spliced from 6 exons.
AAUUCAGUAGAAGCGUUACCAAACUCUCAAAACCCUUCAGAAUCUUGGGGCUUUAAUGGUGAAUGCGUUCCAGAAAUUGGAAGAGAGAAUGUACGGUGUGCUUUGCAAUAGUGAGAAAUCAUCAACAAAAGCGGCUGUGGAUGCUUUUGCUGAGAUGGGUGUUCAAGUUACCGUUGAAGAUUUUGUGCCUUUCAUGGGCAUGGGCAUGCUGAUAAAUUUUAUGAAGUAAUGAUUAAGCCAGAUACAUGAAAUAUCGAUAAGAAGAAAAACAAAAGAAAAGAAUUAUCAAGAAUCUCUGUCCAGUCCCCUCCAUGGGAACUUUGUUAUUGGAGCAAGCUUCUUAUGUGUUGCUGCUGCUGCUAAGGGUGUUGAAGGAUUUGAUGCCGAGGCUGCAAAGAAGAGGUUCUUUGAGAUAUAUUUAUUAAAGGUGAUUGAAAUUUCAUAUAUUUACGAAUAUCUACUCUCAAAGCAGAUUCCACUGGGCAAUCAUUUGUAGUAUGCAAACCGUUUAUGGCAUAGGUGUCCCUGGUGCCUUUGAACUUUUCUCUCAGGUUUUGAUGCAAUUGUAUCUGCGGAUGCCUUUAAAAGUUUGAAGCCUGCUCCUGAUACUUUCUUGGCUGCAUCACGGAUUCUUGAUAUUCCCACUAGUGAGGUAGAUUCCAGGAUGUGCAAUGCUGUAUUGCUACCACCCAUCACAAUUUUUUUUCUUUUUAGACACUUUUAUGUGGGUGGUAUGUGGUACUAACCUGAUGAGAAAUUUACAUUCAAAUUCUGUUUGACUGAGAGUUCCCUACAUUAUUAUCCAUUAGUGACUGUAAUAAUCAGAUGAAGCUAGCUGGAAAACAAAAUUUAUGCAAAGAAGAUACUACAAACUUGAUAAAUAUAUUGGCAACUUUUAUGUUGAAUAUUAUAUUCCUGGAUGGAAAAGAGAUUCUCUAUUGUCAUUCUAUCAGUCGGAACAGUUUUUCUAAAUAUGGAUAUAAAAAUGGGGGUGCAUUAUGAAUUGCUGAAGGUUCAUCUUCAAGUAUGAUGAAGUUUUGAAGUGUUAAAGUAGAUCAGUGUCCUGUUUGUCGAUCUUGGUAGACAUUAUCAUAAUCCUGUAUGUUGACAGUGUAUUGUGAUUGAAGAUAAAUUAGCUGGAGUACAAGCUGCCAAAGCUGCGAAAAUGAGGUAUUUGUGUUUGAGUGCCUUUCCUUUAUAUAGUUGGACUAUGUACAAUCGUUCAAAGUUGUUAAUAUCACCAACCCUACUUGAACUUUCCUUCAUUUGUUCUGUCAACUGAAUCAGUAAGCUGUAUCAGCAUCAUUCUAAUGUACCUCUUUGCCUCUGUUUUUAGCGAUCAUUUUGAUUCCAUUUUUUCUACAUUCAUAAAUAUGUUGACUUACUUGCAAAUGUAUAGCUGUGACGACAACACUAUCAGAAGAUACUCUAAAGCAGCGGAGCCCACACUUAUCAGAAAGGAGAUAAGCGAUAUUUCACUUGAAAAUAUCCUCGAUGGUGGCUCUGGUAGCCAUAGUAUGUAGUGCACCAACAUGUUAGGAACUUCCCUUUUCGUGUACACCAUUGACAAAUGCAGAAUACUGAAGCUCUUUUGUGUUAUUUAUGGAAAAACUUGCGAGUAAGCUCUUUUUUGUAAUGACUAUAACUUGUUGGAGGAUAUCCUGUUCUCUGCUCCCUUAAGCUGUAUGUUUUAGCUGCUAAUUGUUGUCUUUUACUAAGUUGAUGGAAAUUUGCUAGUUCUAGUGUUCCUCUAGCUUAUCAUGUGUGGUCAAUAGUGGCUCCCUUUCUAUGCUUACUAUAAAAUGAAUCUAAUGAUGACAGACAAUGCAGAUGUGAUGGUGCAGGAAUCUCAAUCCAUUAAUGAUCUAGCUCUCUUCCACUAAAUCCAAUAUGACGGAGUAUCCCAGAGCUGGAUAAUUAUCCAACAAGUGAAGCCUAGCAUGCUAUGUCAGAAAAUGCUUGGAUUUCAACUGACAAGUCUUGGUGCUUUCGAUGCUGAAGAAACAGUAAUGCUCACACGCAACCUUGACCAAAGCUUCAAACUCUUUGAGAUGUUUUUUGAUAUCUAUGUUAAAGCUUCUAUGCUAGAUAGAUAUCAAGCUUCUUUAUCUUGACCUGUUUAUUCUAUUGCCUUAAAAACUAUUUGCAGUUUCGGCCAGCCAUGGGGAUGAUAUAAGCAUCCAGUAUUCUAGUACUCCAGCUUUAACGUUUCUUGUUCUGGUAUAUAUGAAGGCAGCAUUCGUGCAAAACAUGUUUUUGGAGAGUGCAUUAAUAUAAAUACAUAUGUAGUAGUUCUCAAACCCUGUCAAAGUUCCUAAAUCAACGAGCAUUAUAUAUUUAUCAUUGACAUUGGUACUAUAAUUUUUGGCCAAUUAAACUCAUAUCAAGAGUAAGAAUCUGGGAUUGGAUCUUUAAUUGCCAACUGCACAAAUUUAUCUCGAGAUCAUGAUGGAUAUAGCCUACAACUAAAAAAAUUAUAGUCAACUAGUUGAUUUUAUGACCUCAAACUCUGGAUCUAAGUUUCUUUUCAUGCAAUUUUACUUUGAGGAGUCAUGAAUUGAUAUUAGUCCUAGCAAUGUCUUAAAGUUGCUAUACGUCCAACUUAACCUCAAAUUUGAGUUUGUUACCUCAGGCGCUUUCAUAUUUUCUUAGGUCAGGACUCAAAUUGAUCAUAAUUUUUUUUUCAGUAGGGCCGGAGACACGAGAGCAAAAAUCUCAGAGUUCAUCAACCAACAGGUAUCUGAGGAAAGAACCCAGCGUUUCAAUAAGAGGAAGGAGUUCAUAUCGGAUGUAUGUCAAGUUGGAAUGUGAAAACUAAAGAAAGUACUUGGGCAGAGUUCUGGUUCUAAGAAAAUCAGAGAUAUGGCCAUUAAUGCCUGGAAGACUGUCUGAAAAUGACAAAGAGGUGCGAUGAAGUACUUAUCAUAUUGUUGCUAGCAGACCUGUGUUUAUUUAAACAUAAUUUUGGCAUUUAAGCAUUCAUGUUUCUCUCUCCUACUUCAACAAACAUACACAAAUUUAAGCAAGUAAAAGUUUUUCCUGGUUCAUUGUAUCCUUCCAACUUUUGCUGCCUUACAUUGAAGCAAGUAAGCUGGAUAAGGAAAGAUAUAUCCAAGAAAUGGCUGCUUAUGAACAGCAUAAGAACAAAGAAACUACAACAAAUCCAAACUUGCACAGGGGUUUGGCCCCAAGUAUGAUUAACUUUGGUGCACGGAGUUGAUCAUGGUUAUCAUGUGACUUCACAAGCUUAUACUGGAAGCAACAUUCUCCCUAAUGCAUCCUUUAUUGAGUCCACGGUACAAAUAUUGAAUAAUGGUAAGACAAGUAACCCCAUAUUUCAGAUGGAUUGGUGCUCUUUUGCCUAGUCAAUUUCAGUUGCUACUUUGGUGGGUUUUGGAAGAUAUGUAUAGCUUUCGAUCUGUACGUAUCUUACAACCUUAGCAUGAUGCUUUUAAGAUGUAUAUAGCUUCUAGUCUUUGAAAACUAGUGUGUCAAGAAGCAGCAUUUGUAGGUUAGUUGGUAGUGGAGGGUUAUCUUGCUUUUUGAGGUGGCGUGUUGGUUUUAUUUUUGUCCUUGUUUUAUUAUUGUGAUUCUUUUAAUUUUUGACAUCUUAUCACCGUCUGUUGUUAUUUACUGUGUUUUAAUGGUCACAUAACUUACAUAAUUCUCUUUUUUAA